Molecule: ribosomal RNA, 465 nt
Filed under: uncultured Dialister sp.
Lineage: Bacteria; Bacillati; Bacillota; Negativicutes; Veillonellales; Veillonellaceae
Description: bacterial SSU rRNA
Rfam family: Bacterial small subunit ribosomal RNA
Source: RNAcentral
CCUACGGGCGGCUGCAGUGGGGAAUCUUCCGCAAUGGGCGAAAGCCUGACGGAGCAACGCCGCGUGAGUGAUGCCGGCCUUCGGGUUGUAAAACUCGGUGAGCCGGGACGAAAAGGCAGAGUGCGAAGAACAAACUGCAUUGACGGUACCGGAAACGCAAGCCACGGCUAACUACGUGCCAGCAGCCGCGGUAAAACGUAGGUGGCAAGCGUUGUCCGGAAUUAUUGGGCGUAAAGCGCGCGCAGGCGGCUUCCCAAGUACCGCUUAAAAGUGCGGGGCUUAACCCCGUGAUGGGAAGGAAACUGGGAAGCUAGAGUACCGGAGAGGAAAGUGGAAUUCCUAGUGUAGCGGUGAAAUGCGUAGAGAUUAGGAAGAACACCGGUGGCGAAGGCGACUUUCUGGACGAAAACUGACGCUGAGGCGCGAAAGCGUGGGGAGCAAACAGGAUUAGAGACCCCUGUAGUC